RNAcentral lists this ribosomal RNA (292 nucleotides) under uncultured Aerococcus sp. Its description in RNAcentral is "partial 16S ribosomal RNA". It matches the Rfam family "Bacterial small subunit ribosomal RNA", at positions 245 to 525 of the family's 1533-position model. The record is from RNAcentral. Lineage: Bacteria; Bacillati; Bacillota; Bacilli; Lactobacillales; Aerococcaceae.
CUAGUUGGCGAGGGUAAACGGGCUCACCAAGGUGAUGAUGCAUAGCCGACCUGAGAGGGUAAUCGGCCACAUUGGGACUGAGACACGGCCCAAACUCCUACGGGAGGCAGCAGUAGGGAAUCUUCCGCAAUGGACGCAAGUCUGACGGAGCAACACCGCGUGAGUGAAGAAGGUUUUCGGAUCGUAAAACUCUGUUGUAAGAGAAGAACAAAUUGUAGAGUAACUGCUACAGUCUUGACGGUAUCUUACCAGAAAGCCACGGGCUAACUACGUGCCAGCAGCCGCGGUAAAU